RNAcentral lists this long non-coding RNA (1930 nucleotides) under Setaria viridis. RNAcentral describes it as "long non-coding RNA (SVIR_LNC002790)". Lineage: Eukaryota; Viridiplantae; Streptophyta; Magnoliopsida; Poales; Poaceae. The record is from RNAcentral.
CCCCAACCAUGACUGAUCGUAUCGAAGGACCGAAUGCGAAGCGUAGAUAAACUUGAAAUCGACAAUGUGGCACUUCAACCACUGGCACCCAGCGAAACAUGCCGAAGUAACGGAUGGCAACUCAAACAUAGCAGGCAUAAGAAAUCACAGCACAACUAGGGAUAGACAAACCAUAGAUAGAUGCAUUCAAAGUUGGAUCAAAAACUCAUGGGGUGGUUCGGCACAUAACUAACAACACAAUGCUUAGCUGACAAGCACUUUGACAAGUCUAUUAGGUUCUACAGAUAUGAAAAACAGACACAGGAGAAUGUCGCCGCCAGCUUCACAAACUUGAGAUGAUCUAUUUCUUCUUAUCAGUGUGAGUACCAGCCGACCUGCAAUCCCCAAAGAAAAGUUAAAUUAGAGAUGUCCACAAUAUGCACAAUGCUUCAGAAACCAUACUAACAAGUAUACACAUGCCAGGACGGAAAUCUCUAGUAGUGGUAUUAUAAUAACAAGGCAACAAAAUGUUUAAUAAUACUAUGUCACUCAGGAGAUGGUAGAAAACUAUGACAUGAAAAAUCAAACUACAAGCUGUUUUUGCACACUACACCCAUUAAGGUUACAUGUUGAAGGGUCAUAUAUACUAAUGAAUUAGCAUAUAGCAAACACUGCUUAGUAGAGCCGAUCUUUAAAAAACACAUUAUGACAUAAGCAACUGAUGUAACCCACAUUAGAAAGCAUAUAGUCAAAUGAAACAGAAGACAAGCCAUUAUAAUGCUGCAUAGAAGUUAGCAGAAUAAGGUUUCAGGUUUACACACCUCAUCUUCCUGAGGACAUUCGCCAUCUCCUCUCUCUUCUUCUUUGCCCUCUUGUGAGUUCCGAGCUUUCUCUUGGCAACCUUCAGAGCACGCUUGUCCUUACCAACCUUCAGAAGCUCAGUGAUACGCUUCUCAUAAGGAGCAAACCCAGCAACCUCUCUGAUCAGGCCCCUGACCAUGGUCACCCUCUUUGUUGCUUUCUGCAAAUCAUGGUAAUAACUUGUAAGGACAGAAAACGUGUCAUCCAGUGAAAAGGAUAAUCCUACCAAUAGAACAUGACACUGCUUAUAUACUAGUGUUUUUUGCAAGUGCAGACUGCAGACACAAAGCAAAAUCAUAGGCUCGUUUAAAGACAUAAAUGAAUCCACAGAUCUAAAACGGAGCAUUUGCUAGGCGCAUCACAGCAAAUUCAAUCGUCACAAAGUACAUGCUUAAAACAUUGAAUUGCUGACAAAAAAAAAUCUAGGGGGCACACCUAGCGUAACAGAAGCUAUAAUUUAUUUGCCACUAGUAGGAAAGGCAAUCUGUGGAAUAACAUAUUUCCUAACACUAGUAUUAGCAAUCAACAGUGCCAUAUGUUAAACAUAAACUUGAGCUUCCAAGCUGGUAUUGAAGAUCUGUAACUAUUUUGAAAAGUUGGGGAAAUUAAACAACUAAACACACAUGGCCUGAAAUGGUAAAAAACGCCCCCCAGGUUCAUCAACGGUCAAGCAUGACCCAACCAUCAAAUCACCACACUAGGCAACUGUAUGCAUGCAAAACUUCUACUCGACUAUCGACUAAUAAAAUCUACCCAGCUUGCUAAACCGAAAAGAUCCAACGCCUAAUCGCAGAAACACUACCAGCGUCAUCAACAUCGCAUCGCUAAGAAAGGUCAGAUCGGCUUACCCCCUUGCGGUGGGACGGGCGCGGCGGCAGCUCGCGCUUGGUGACGACAUGGCCCUUGUUGAUGCCCACGAAGAGGCCGGACUUCGGCUGCGGCGGCGCCAUGAGGACCAACCCUUUCCUGCGCACGCAGAAACAAGCGGAGAGAUCAGCUUCAGCGGAAGCAGAGGUGCGAGGGUUUCAGAUCGGCCGUGGCGGCGGCGGAAGGGAGGGCUUACCUUACCUGAAGCGAACCGUCUGCUACC